This 121-nucleotide ribosomal RNA is filed under the name Petromyzon marinus (sea lamprey). Lineage: Eukaryota; Metazoa; Chordata; Hyperoartia; Petromyzontiformes; Petromyzontidae. The record is from RNAcentral.
GACUUUGACCAGAACACCCUGAAUGUGCCCAAUCUCAUCCGAUCUCUGAAAAUAAGCAAGGUUUGAGCCUGGCUAGUACUUGGAUGUGAGGCUGCCUGGGAAUUUCUUGAUGUCAUAGGCU